GUGCCAGCCGCCGCGGUAAUACGUAGGUGGCAAGCGUUGUCCGGAUUUAUUGGGCGUAAAGCGAGCGCAGGCGGUUUCUUAAGUCUGAUGUGAAAGCCCCCGGCUCAACCGGGGAGGGUCAUUGGAAACUGGGAGACUUGAGUGCAGAAGAGGAGAGUGGAAUUCCAUGUGUAGCGGUGAAAUGCGUAGAUAUAUGGAGGAACACCAGUGGCGAAGGCGGCUUUUUGGCCUGUAACUGACGCUGAGGCGCGAAAGCGUGGGGAGCAAACAGGAUUAGAAACCCCCGUAGUCC
This 292-nucleotide ribosomal RNA is filed under the name uncultured prokaryote. RNAcentral describes it as "partial 16S ribosomal RNA". It matches the Rfam family "Bacterial small subunit ribosomal RNA", at positions 505 to 796 of the family's 1533-position model. The record is from RNAcentral.